RNAcentral lists this ribosomal RNA (253 nucleotides) under uncultured bacterium. RNAcentral describes it as "partial 16S ribosomal RNA". It matches the Rfam family "Bacterial small subunit ribosomal RNA", at positions 524 to 776 of the family's 1533-position model. The record is from RNAcentral.
UACGUAGGGUGCAAGCGUUAAUCGGAAUUACUGGGCGUAAAGCGUGCGCAGGCGGUCUCGUAAGUCAGAUGUGAAAUCCCCGAGCUUAACUUGGGAACUGCAUCCGAAACUGCGAGACUAGAGUGUGUCAGAAAGAGGUAGAAUUCCACGUGUAGCAAUGAAAUGCGUAGAUAUGUGGAGGAAUACCAGUGGCGAAGGCGGCCUCCUGGGAUAACACUGACGCUCAUGUACGAAAGCGUGGGGAGCAAACAGG